AUAAUAACCUUCAAGUUAUUCAAAAUUUUCAUUUAAUAAUGGCUUUUCUUUCAAUUUAUUACAAUUUUAUUUAAUGAUUUGUACACAUUGUUAGAAAUUAAAUUGUCUUCUUUCCAUCUUAUCUUCUUAUCCUUGUAUAAGCUGAACCAUCAUCCACAAUCUUUGUCUCUAUUUAUGUGGCAAUAAUAUAUAAUUGUUCCAAUAUAAUAGGAUAUGUAAAUAUAACUUAUACAAAGAAAUUUUAUUCAUAAAUAAAAUCUCUAAUAAUCAAUUUUGAUAUUUGAACAAACUUUAUAUAAAUCUCUAUUUG
This 310-nucleotide long non-coding RNA is filed under the name Physcomitrium patens. RNAcentral's name for it is "long non-coding RNA (PPAT_LNC001967)". The record is from RNAcentral. Lineage: Eukaryota; Viridiplantae; Streptophyta; Bryopsida; Funariales; Funariaceae.